CAGUCGCCGCGGGAAUACGAGGGGGCAAGCGUUGUUCGGAAUUAUUGGGUGUAAAGGGCGCGUAGGCGGUUUGACAAGUCUGAUGUGAAAUCUAUGGGCUCAACCCAUAGCCUGCAUUAGAAACUGUCGGGCUUGAGUAUGGGAGAGGUGAGUGGAAUUUCCGGUGUAGCGGUGAAAUGCGUAGAUAUCGGAAGGAACACCUGUGGCGAAAGCGGCUCACUGGACCAUAACUGACGCUGAGGCGCGAAAGCUAGGGGAGCAAACAGGAUUAGAUACCCCAGUAGUCCCUGUCUCUUAUACC
This 301-nucleotide ribosomal RNA is filed under the name uncultured bacterium. Its description in RNAcentral is "partial 16S ribosomal RNA". It matches the Rfam family "Bacterial small subunit ribosomal RNA", at positions 509 to 808 of the family's 1533-position model. The record is from RNAcentral.